GAUGAACGCUGGCGGCGUGCCUAAUACAUGCAAGUCGAGCGAACGGACGAGAAGCUUGCUUCUCUGAUGUUAGCGGCGGACGGGUGAGUAACACGUGGAUAACCUACCUAUAAGACUGGGAUAACGUCGGGAAACCGGAGCUAAUAACGGAUGAUAUUUUGAACCGCAUGGUUCAAAAGUGAAAGACGGUCUUGCUGUCACUUAUAGAUGUAUCCGCGCUGCAUUAGCUAGUUGGUAAGGUAACGGCUUACCAAGGCAACGAUGCAUAGCCGACCUGAGAGGGUGAUCGGCCACACUGGAACUGAGACACGGUCCAGACUCCUACGGGAGGCAGCAGUAGGGAAUCUUCCGCAAUGGGCGAAAGCCUGACGGAGCAACGCCGCGUGAGUGAUGAAGGUCUUCGGAUCGUAAAGCUCUGUUAUUAGGGAAGAACAUAUGUGUAAGUAACUGUGCACAUCUUGACGGUACCUAAACAGAAAGCCACGGCUAACUACGUG
Molecule: ribosomal RNA, 497 nt
Filed under: uncultured bacterium
Lineage: Bacteria
Description: partial 16S ribosomal RNA
Rfam family: Bacterial small subunit ribosomal RNA
Source: RNAcentral